CCCUCUGAGCAUUUAGGCUGCUUCCUCACUGAUUUCAGGGGAGAUCAAAAGCCAAGCAAGUUUAGGCCUGAAUGGUACUUGGAUAGGAGACCACCUGGAAAUUCCAGGCCCUGCAAGGA
Salvator merianae (Argentine black and white tegu) is the source of this 119-nucleotide ribosomal RNA. Lineage: Eukaryota; Metazoa; Chordata; Lepidosauria; Squamata; Teiidae. The record is from Ensembl.